This 107-nucleotide small nuclear RNA is filed under the name Carlito syrichta (Philippine tarsier). Lineage: Eukaryota; Metazoa; Chordata; Mammalia; Primates; Tarsiidae. The record is from RNAcentral.
UUGCUCACUUCAGAAGCAUGAAUACUGAAACUGGAAUGAUACAGAGAAGAUCAGCAUGGGCCCUGCACAAGAAUAACAUGCUCAUUUACGAAGUGUUAGAAAAAGAA